UACAUGGGGUGCAAACGUUGCUCGGAAUUAUUGGGCGUAAAGCGCACGUAGGUGGUCUGUUAUGUCAGAUGUGAAAGCCCUCGGCUUAACUGAGGAAGUGCACCUGAAACUGGCAGGCUUGAGUACGAAAGAGGGUCGCGGAAUUCCCGGUGUAGAGGUGAAAUGCGCAGAUAUCAGGAAGAACACCCGUGGCGAAAGCGGCUCUCUGGAACGGUACUGACGCUGAGACGCGAAAGCGUGGGGAGCGAACAGG
This 253-nucleotide ribosomal RNA is filed under the name uncultured bacterium. Its description in RNAcentral is "partial 16S ribosomal RNA". It matches the Rfam family "Bacterial small subunit ribosomal RNA", at positions 524 to 776 of the family's 1533-position model. The record is from RNAcentral.